This is a long non-coding RNA of Cannabis sativa, 1313 nucleotides long. RefSeq lists it as uncharacterized. The transcript is spliced from 6 exons. The record is from RefSeq and is a predicted model, not a curated record. NCBI's taxonomy places the organism in Eukaryota, Viridiplantae, Streptophyta, Magnoliopsida, Rosales, Cannabaceae.
GUUAUAUUUUCGGUGUUUAUAGAUAACCGAAGUUAAAAGUAUUUAAUUUUUUAUUUAAUGCUUGCUCUUUUGUUUAAGAAAAGCUUUGUCUUCGGUAAUUAGAAAUGACCGAAAUCAAAGGCUUCCACGCGGAGAACUUUGUUUUUUGUUAUUAGAUAAUAACCGAAGACUAAAGUCUUCUUAUUCCCACAAAUAAAGCAAAGGGACCGACCUUUCAAUUUACCCCCAAAUUGUCGAAACCCUUAACCCCACGAUCCUCAAACCCUCAACUUCUCAAACUCUUCGCUUACAGCUACCCCGACGACAAGGACGAGGACGAGGACGGCGGUGGACUGACUGAAGCUCUCUGCUCCGACUAACCUCCUCAAUGGAUUUUCUUCUGGUAUUGACUUGUUUUCGUUUAAAGAUCUUCUUCCAUUAGUCUCUUCUUCACAUCACCUACAAAUAAUGUUAAAAAAUUGUCAUUGGUUCAUUGGGUGCAUUUGUACAGUUUGGUGGGUUUUGUGGUUCCUGUACAAUGCUAUGCCAGCUUCAUUUCCCCAGUACAUGACAGAGGCCAUAACCGGUCCUUUGCCGGACCUGCCUGGUAUUAAAUUGAAGAAGGAAGGAGUCCCUGUGGUGUUUGUGCCGGGGAUUCUGACUGGUGGGCUUGAAUUGUGGGAGGGUCAUCAUUGUGCAGAUGGGCUUUUUCAGAAAUGUCUUUGGGUGGAACUUUUGGAGAAGUCUAUAAGAGCUUUAGUGUCACUAAUAGGAUGAAACAACGUUAUUCUGGUUUUCUCAUGGAGAAGAAAGGACUUUGAGAUUAUCUUCAGUUACAAGAAUUAUACCUGGACAAAGAACUGUGAAUUAAUAAAAAUUUGAUCCAAAUUUGUAAUGUUGUCAUUUUAAAGAUCUGUAAGGAUAAAGCUCAAGCAGAAUUAGACGUUCCUACAGGAGCAAAGUGCAUUAGAGGUUCUAAGAGUGAUACUUCUAAAGUUCCAACACGUUUCUUGGAGAGUUUCUAAAAGUAACCCCUAUACCAUAUCCAAAACAAGUAUUGAGAUAUGAAUGUGGUUUUUAUGUACAUUAAUGACAUUGUGAAAGCUGGAAGAUUUGAGAUGAUUCUAAAAGAAAAGUUUGGAGGAAAGUCAAACUACGAUGAGGACACAAAUUUGCUACAACACCAACAUCAAUGGUUAUCAAAAUUGAAACUUAUUAUGUAAUUUUAUUUGUAAGGAUAACAAAUAUACCUUAAUUUUGUUAUUUUAUAAUUAAAUUGUAUUUUUGUAAAGUUUAACUUUUUAUAAUAUAAUUAAAUUCAUGUUUAUUUCAAA